GACGAACGCUGGCGGCGUGCUUAACACAUGCAAGUCGAACGGAAAGGCCCUGCUUUUGUGGGGUGCUCGAGUGGCGAACGGGUGAGUAACACGUGAGUAACCUGCCCUUGACUUUGGGAUAACUUCAGGAAACUGGGGCUAUUACGGGAAAGGAUCUCUUGCGGCAGGGUGGGGGUGGGAAAGUUUCGGCGGUUGGGGAUGGACUGGCGGCUUAUCAGCUUGUUGGGGGGGUGGUGUCUUACCAGGGCUUUGACGGGUAGCAGGCCUGGGAGGGUCACCGGCCACAUUGGGACUGAGAUACGGCCCAGACUCCUACGGGAGGCAGCAGUGGAGAAUAGUACACAAGGGGCGGAAGCCUGAUGCAGCAACGCCGCGUGCGGGAUGACGGCCUUCGGGUUGUAAACCACUUUCGCCUGUGACGAGGCGUGAGUGACGGUAAUGGGUAAAGAAGCACCGGCUAACUACGUG
This 468-nucleotide ribosomal RNA is filed under the name uncultured bacterium. Its description in RNAcentral is "partial 16S ribosomal RNA". It matches the Rfam family "Bacterial small subunit ribosomal RNA", at positions 28 to 507 of the family's 1533-position model. The record is from RNAcentral.